Long non-coding RNA from Oryctolagus cuniculus (rabbit), 1017 nucleotides. RefSeq lists it as uncharacterized. NCBI's taxonomy places the organism in Eukaryota, Metazoa, Chordata, Mammalia, Lagomorpha, Leporidae. The record is from RefSeq and is a predicted model, not a curated record.
UACUCUGCAGUUUCAGGGUGCCCUGUCUGGCAGCCUCCCCAAGCGGCCGAACCCAAGACGGGAACAGCCAAGGACAAAUGCGGCCCGUAGACCCAGACCACGCCGACCACGUGUGUCCCAGCACCAGCUGCCCGUGACCUCUGACCCCAGCCGGAGACAGCACGUGGGCCGGGAGGCCAGGGCCCAGGCCCUGCCCAGAACACAAGCAGGACAUCCACUGCAAGGCAGGAAGUUCUGAGCCCUGCAACCUCAGCGGUUUAUUCUGCCCUGCCUGGAAGGGCUGACACGGCUUCAAGAUCAACACGGCUUCCCACCCCUUCCCGACCCUCUGGAGCCGAGGAGUGUCUGAUUUCCCGGUUCCCAAGCUCCACAAGGUCUGUGCGUGGAGCAGGGCCCUCCCCGGCCACCUCCCCGGCGCGAGUGCCUGCUGAGUUACUCAGAGGUUGGGCAAUGCUGUCGGGGAUCCGGCCUCCGGCUUACGUAAGCCGUAAUUACCCUGCCCACCCGGCUCCAGCCCACAGCCACCGCAGCCACUGGCAGCAGGGCCCAGGAAGGGCCCACACCCUCCCCAGGACCCCUCCAGGGAAGGAGGGGAGCAGAGGGGACAGCCCCUGAACAGGCACCCACUAAGUGCCCAGGCGCCCCCCCCAGGAGACUUCCCUCUUGCAGCCGCAUGGCUGAGGUCUCUCCAGCAAGGGAGGGGGGGGUUGAAAACGGCAACAGUAACGCUUGCAACAGCUACUCCCUUCCUGCACACCUACUGUGUGCACCUACUGUGUGCAGCUGAGCAGGCGCCUUGCUGGCUUGUGCACCUGCUGACCCCCUCUCUCACGUCACACGUCCCUGUCCACAGAAGUAGGUGUGACUGUCUCCCACCCCCCAUCUCACAGAUAAGGAAACAGACCCAGAGCCCGUCAUGGGGCUCCCCAGGGCGAGGCAACAGCAGGUUCACAGAGCCCAUUCAUUACAGCCAUGUCCGGUUUGGAAACCCCUCCCACCACCCAGCCUACCGAGACU